Long non-coding RNA from Thunnus maccoyii (southern bluefin tuna), 644 nucleotides. RefSeq lists it as uncharacterized. The transcript is spliced from 3 exons. The record is from RefSeq and is a predicted model, not a curated record. Lineage: Eukaryota; Metazoa; Chordata; Actinopteri; Scombriformes; Scombridae.
ACCAGUUCUGUCGCAUCUAUCACGGGCUGCAUCCCCGGGCAGCUGCACGAGGCAGCUGCUGGUCUGUAGAAAGAGUGCAAACUCCCAACAAUCUGUGGAUUCAUUCUGCACUUCAUGCUCACCCACUGAUGGGAUGGCAAUGGGGUGCUCGCCGGACAUGCCUAGACUUGUUCUUAAUUGUGCAUCGAGGGGAUCAAAUCCCGCUCAAUCCUUUAUCUGUUUUUCUUCUCCCCAACAGACAAGUGUGCACAUCGCCUCUCAGCAUAAAGAUAGUAAAGAGAUGACAGGAAAUGAGGGGGAGAGGUGUAACAAAUGUCGGCGUCCAGACUCAAACUGGAGAUGUUGCAGUUCACGGGCAUGCAGUACUUGACUGGCUGUAAAUCUGUUUGGAGACUAAUCUGCCACUACCUACCAGCUGCUCUCUUGGCACUUGCCAGGGCCAACAUUCCCGUUGCCAUGGAGAUAACCAGUCAUGCCAGUUACACAUAAGGCCUGGCGCUGCGCCGAGCAGGCUGUGUGUAGCGAGCACGUGCGUGCCCGUGUGUGUGCACGCCGUGUGUGCCUGGAUAAUGUGCAUCUGUAUUAUUAGAAGUCAAACAGUGUGGUCUGUCAACCGCCAAAUAAAGAAAAAGGUUCUUGAAUAA